GAUGAACGCUGGCGGCGUGCUUAACACAUGCAAGUCGAACGAUGAAGCCGGAGCUUGCUCUGGUGAAUUAGUGGCGAACGGGUGAGUAACACGUGAGUAACCUGCCCUUGACUCUGGGAUAACUGCGGGAAACUGUGGCUAAUACCGGAUACGACCCUCGGAGGCAUCUCCUGGGGGUGGAAAGAAUUUCGGUCAAGGAUGGACUCGCGGCCUCUCAGCUAGUUGGUGAGGUAAAGGCUCACCAAGGCGACGACGGGUAGCCGGCCUGAGAGGGUGACCGGCCACACUGGGACUGAGACACGGCCCAGACUCCUACGGGAGGCAGCAGUGGGGAAUAUUGCACAAUGGGCGCAAGCCUGAUGCAGCAACGCCGCGUGAGGGAUGACGGCCUUCGGGUUGUAAACCUCUUUUAGCAGGGAAGAAGCGAAAGUGACGGUACCUGCAGAAAAAGCACCGGCUAACUACGUGCCAGCCGCCGCGGUAA
Molecule: ribosomal RNA, 484 nt
Filed under: uncultured bacterium
Lineage: Bacteria
Description: partial 16S ribosomal RNA
Rfam family: Bacterial small subunit ribosomal RNA
Source: RNAcentral